This 586-nucleotide ribosomal RNA is filed under the name Actinobacillus suis. RNAcentral's name for it is "bacterial LSU rRNA". It matches the Rfam family "Bacterial large subunit ribosomal RNA", at positions 1 to 618 of the family's 2925-position model. Lineage: Bacteria; Pseudomonadati; Pseudomonadota; Gammaproteobacteria; Pasteurellales; Pasteurellaceae. The record is from RNAcentral.
GUUGUAUAGUUAAGUGACUAAGCGUACACGGUGGAUGCCUUGGCAAUCAGAGGCGAAGAAGGACGUGCUAAUCUGCGAUAAGCUUGGAUGAGUUGAUAAGAAGCGUUUAAUCCAAGAUUUCCGAAUGGGGAAACCCACUAGAUGAAGAAUCUAGUAUUUACUACUGAAUACAUAGGUAGUAAAGGCAAACCGGGAGAACUGAAACAUCUAAGUACCCCGAGGAAAAGAAAUCAACCGAGAUUCUGUAAGUAGCGGCGAGCGAAAGCGGAAGAGCCUGUUAGUGAUAGCAGUAGACACAGAAGAACGAGCUGGGAAGCUCGACUAUAAAGGGUGAUAGUCCCGUAUUCGAAGUGUCUAUUGUGGUACUAAGCUAACGACAAGUAGGGCGGGACACGAGAAAUCCUGUUUGAAGAUGGGGGGACCAUCCUCCAAGGCUAAAUACUCCUGAUUGACCGAUAGUGAACCAGUACUGUGAAGGAAAGGCGAAAAGAACCCCAGUGAGGGGAGUGAAAUAGAACCUGAAACCGUGUACGUACAAGCAGUGGGAGCCUCUUUGUGGGGUGACUGCGUACCUUUUGUAUAAUGG